UACGUAGGGUCCGAGCGUUGUCCGGAAUUACUGGGCGUAAAGAGCUCGUAGGUGGUCUGUCGCGUUGUUCGUGAAAACUCACAGCUUAACUGUGGGCGUGCGGGCGAUACGGGCAGACUUGAGUACUGCAGGGGAGACUGGAAUUCCUGGUGUAGCGGUGGAAUGCGCAGAUAUCAGGAGGAACACCGGUGGCGAAGGCGGGUCUCUGGGCCGAUACUGACGCUGAGGUGCGAAAGCGUGGGGAGCAAACAGG
This 253-nucleotide ribosomal RNA is filed under the name uncultured bacterium. RNAcentral's name for it is "partial 16S ribosomal RNA". It matches the Rfam family "Bacterial small subunit ribosomal RNA", at positions 524 to 776 of the family's 1533-position model. The record is from RNAcentral.